ACGAACGCUGGCGGCAGGCCUAACACCUGCCAGUCGAGCGAGCAUUUCGGUGCUAGCGGCGGACGGGUGAGUAACGCGUGGGAACGUGCCCUUUUCUGCGGAAUAGUCCUGGGAAACUGGGGGUAAUACCGCAUACGCCCUUUUGGGGAAAGAUUUAUCGGAGAAGGAUCGGCCCGCGUUGGAUUAGGUAGUUGGUGGGGUAAUGGCCCACCAAGCCGACGAUCCAUAGCUGGUUUGAGAGGAUGAUCAGCCACACUGGGACUGAGACACGGCCCAGACUCCUACGGGAGGCAGCAGUGGGGAAUCUUAGACAAUGGGGGCAACCCUGAUCUAGCCAUGCCGCGUGAGUGAUGAAGGCCUUAGGGUUGUAAAGCUCUUUCAGCUGGGAAGAUAAUGACGGUACCAGCAGAAGAAGCCCCGGCUAACUCCGUG
RNAcentral lists this ribosomal RNA (432 nucleotides) under uncultured bacterium. Its description in RNAcentral is "partial 16S ribosomal RNA". It matches the Rfam family "Bacterial small subunit ribosomal RNA", at positions 29 to 507 of the family's 1533-position model. The record is from RNAcentral.